Molecule: long non-coding RNA, 875 nt
Filed under: Elaeis guineensis (African oil palm)
Lineage: Eukaryota; Viridiplantae; Streptophyta; Magnoliopsida; Arecales; Arecaceae
Description: long non-coding RNA (EGUI_LNC052708)
Source: RNAcentral
AAUGGUGAUCCACACGAGACUGAUCAGGGCCUUUCCCAACUCAUCAUGAUGCUGCAGUCUUCUUCGUAAGUUUGCUGCCUUCCAUCCUUCACAAGAACAGGUUGCACAAUUGCUCGUAUGCCUUCAUGACCUCCACUAAGACCUCUUUAGGAACCCUUCCUUAAAAAAUCUCACUAUACACAAAUCAGAUUUUAUGUUCAACACAUGAACAAUCUGAUUUUUAGGACAAAUAUCUCAUACUUUCCUUUUUCUCUCUUCCUUUCCUUUCUAUUUUUCUCUCCUCUUUUACUUAUUUUUUUCUCAAAUUUUUCCCAUCAUUUUUCUCUCAUUUUCACACCUAACUACAGCCCAAAAAUUGGCACACCAACCUGGUCGUAGCGCCCCCUUUAAAUAGGAAACAAGGGGGGAUACCAUGGGAUGCCAACUCUUGGCAUCCCUUAACUCUUACACGCCAACAAUUAGUUUUUGCAUGGAAUCCAAGAGUAAGGUGUGAAAAUUAAAGAGGUUAACCAGUAGAAGGACUCUUCCUCUGCUUGGAAAAAAUUAAUACACCAACACUUGGCGCGUGGGAAAGGAUUUAGUGUGAGAAACUAAGAAUCCUUAACAAUUAAGACUCUUCCACAAACUCAACGCAUAUGAGGAAGAAUCCAAUUUAUUUUGGCGUUCAAACUACUCAUCAUCAGAGAAGGACUUUUCCUUCUCUUCUAUGCCCAUAAUUCCAAGUGCCAUCUCAUGUCACGAGGAAUUAAAAAAUACGUGGAGAAUAUGGAAGAAAUUAAGAGUCCAAUGUGAAAUGGACUCUCCAUUUUUCAUCAUCCAAAAAUAAGGGACGUCCCACAUUUAUUUUGGCAUGGAGUUCCUUCUCAGAGAAGGAC